ACGGAAGGCAGCAGUAGGGAAUAUUGCACAAUGGGGGAGACCCUGAUGCAGCGACGCCGCGUGAGUGAUGAAGUAUUUCGGUACGUAAAGCUCUAUCAGCAGGGAAGAUAAUGACGGUACCUGACUAAGAAGCACCGGCUAACUACGUGCCAGCAGCCGCGGUAAUACGUAGGGGGCAAGCGUUAUCCGGAUUUACUGGGUGUAAAGGGAGUGUAGGUGGUCAGGCAAGCCAGAAGUGAAAGGCCGGGGCUCAACCCCGGGACUGCAUUUGGAACUGUUAGGCUAGAGUGCAGGAGAGGUAAGUGGAAUUCCUAGUGUAGCGGUGAAAUGCGUAGAUAUUAGGAGGAACACCAGUGGCGAAGGCGGCUUUCUGGACUGUAACUGACACUGAGGCUCGAAAGCGUGGGGAGCAAACAGGAUUAGAUACCCUGGUA
Molecule: ribosomal RNA, 434 nt
Filed under: uncultured Lachnospiraceae bacterium
Lineage: Bacteria; Bacillati; Bacillota; Clostridia; Lachnospirales; Lachnospiraceae
Description: partial 16S ribosomal RNA
Rfam family: Bacterial small subunit ribosomal RNA
Source: RNAcentral